This 72-nucleotide transfer RNA is filed under the name Camelus dromedarius (Arabian camel). It matches the Rfam family "tRNA". Rfam says of the family: Transfer RNA (tRNA) molecules are approximately 80 nucleotides in length. The record is from Rfam by way of RNAcentral. RNAcentral also lists the same sequence under 1 other name. Lineage: Eukaryota; Metazoa; Chordata; Mammalia; Artiodactyla; Camelidae.
GGAGGUAUAGCUCAGUGGUAGAGUGUGUACUUAGCCAGCAUGAGGUCCUGGGUUCAAUCCCCAGCACUUCCA